AGGUGAACCUGCGGAAGGAUCAUUAUCGAGAGAGGGGCCUCGGGCGCCCCGGGGGGCUUCGGCCCCCCACCCUUCACCCUUGUCCACCCACCUGUGUUGCUUUGACGGGCCCCCGAGGGUUCGCCCCGGCGCUGGCUUACGGGCCUGUGAGCGUCCGUCAGAGGCCCAUUUUAUUUCUUUCCGAUGAUGAGUGACGUCCGAGACAAACCACAAUCGCUGAAAACUUUCAACAACGGAUCUCUUGGUUCCAGCAUCGAUGAAGAACGCAGCGAAAUGCGAUAAAUAAUGUGAAUUGCAGAAUUCAGUGAAUCAUCGAGUCUUUGAACGCACAUUGCGCCCCUUGGUAUUCCGGGGGGCAUGCCUGUCCGAGCGUCAUUACACCCCUCAAGCGUUGCUUGGUGUUGGGCCUCGCCCCCCGGGCGUGCCCGAAAUACAGUGGCGGUCCGGUGUGACCCUGACGCGUAGUAAAAUUUUCAUUCCGCCUCAGCCGUUACCUCGCGACUUGCCGGACCAACCCCAGAACUUGAAAGCUGACCUCGGAUCAGGUAGGGAUACCCGCUGAACUUAAGCAUAUCAAUA
Molecule: ribosomal RNA, 579 nt
Filed under: Anzia opuntiella
Lineage: Eukaryota; Fungi; Ascomycota; Lecanoromycetes; Lecanorales; Parmeliaceae
Description: eukaryotic LSU rRNA
Rfam family: 5.8S ribosomal RNA (bases 222-375)
Source: RNAcentral